RNAcentral lists this ribosomal RNA (409 nucleotides) under bacterium enrichment culture clone ALO1_GLFRUDD03FO8EG. RNAcentral's name for it is "bacterial SSU rRNA". It matches the Rfam family "Bacterial small subunit ribosomal RNA", at positions 9 to 420 of the family's 1533-position model. The record is from RNAcentral.
GAGUUUGAUCCUGGCUCAGAUUGAACGCUGGCGGCAUGCCUUACACAUGCAAGUCGAACGGCAGCACGGGAGCUUGCUCCUGGUGGCGAGUGGCGAACGGGUGAGUAAUGCAUCGGAACGUAUCCUGGAGUGGGGGAUAACGUAGCGAAAGUUACGCUAAUACCGCAUAUUCUGUGGGCAGGAAAGCGGGGGACCUUCGGGCCUCGCGCUCUUGGAGCGGCCGAUGUCGGAUUAGCUAGUUGGUGAGGUAAAGGCUCACCAAGGCGACGAUCCGUAGCAGGUCUGAGAGGAUGAUCUGCCACACUGGAACUGAGACACGGUCCAGACUCCUACGGGAGGCAGCAGUGGGAAUUUUGGACAAUGGGGGCAACCCUGAUCCAGCCAUGCGCGUGAGUGAAGAAGGCCUCGG